AGAGGGGUUGUGGCUUUGAGGACAAUUGUUCAAGUGAGAAGAGGGCUGUGCAGAUCUCAAGAUGACAUCGGGAUCCUGAUGUGAAGUUUUCCUGCUUCUGGAGGAGGGAAGCAGAGGGCUGUUUUGCCUCCUCUGGGCCAGGGAUGCAUGGAAUGGCAGAGGUCGGGGUCCCUGGAAGCAGAUCCUGAGACAAAGUCCCCUGUGCAAGAGAUUUAUUUCAAAGGUGUGCCCAGCUCUUGGUGGCCCAGGGUGGGCCUUGGCCUUCAGCCUGCUGACCCAGGACCCUCACUCCUUCCAUAGUGGGGACCAGUGCCUGUCUGAGCCCCAUCAUGAUCCCACUGGGAGGUACUUGUUAUAACUGGUUAGAGGAAUGAAUGAUACAAAGAGAAAGGAUUUGCCAUUUCAAUCCCAGCCAUCUCUGCUUGACAUACCUUGUGACCCUGCGCAAGUCACCUCAUCUUUUGAGUUUCUCUUUCUCCAUCUGUGAAACUGACUGGAGAUCAGCAAAGACAUUCCAUGGGAACCUGCUUUGUAACCCAUGAAGUGCCUUGUUGGUACCUGUGACUACCAGAUCAUUCCAUUGUGUAAGGAUAUCGGAGGAUGCAAGUCCCCAAGACCUCCCCGACACUGCUGGUGGAGUGCAAAUUGAUGCAACCACAUUGGAAAACAAUUUGGCAGUAUCUCAUGGAGGUGAAUAUUCAGCAAUUCCACUCCCAGAUGCCUGUCUGGAGACAACCUCAUCAAGUCUGGUCUCAGAUGUGUGUUCUCUCUGAUGGGAGACAGCUGGAGCGGCUGUCAGGCCUCCCUGGCAAUAGCGGUGCCUGCGGCAGCACCUGUCAGCAGCACCUUAACGCUGUCCCAGUGAUGGCUGCUGCGAGUGGGAAGGUGACAGGAGGCAGUUGUUCUUGGGGUCUGGGAGGCUCUUUGCUGCACUGCUCCUUGACCCCUCUACAUGGAAGGGUGAGCCCCAGUUCCUGUACAUCUUCUGGAAUUGCAGACCUCCUCCCCACGUCACCUCCAGUGGAUUUCCUCGCUGGUCUUGACUCUGGCUGAUGCCACCCACACGCCUCCACUCCAGCUGUUUUCCUAAGACAGCGUGUGAUGCCAUGCCGCCCUGUGUUUCCUGGUCCCUCUGCCUCAAAGACUUUGGUUUCCCA
Homo sapiens (human) is the source of this 1157-nucleotide long non-coding RNA. Ensembl annotates it as long intergenic non-protein coding RNA 1746. The record is from Ensembl. Lineage: Eukaryota; Metazoa; Chordata; Mammalia; Primates; Hominidae.